GAUGAACGCUGGCGGCGUGCCUAAGACAUGCAAGUCGAGUGGUUAGACCCACGGGCGAACGGUGAGUAAUACCUAGGACUUGCUUAAGUUGAGGAUAUCCUCCCGAAAGGGAGAGGCAAUACUCAAAUGUGGUCGCAAGACCAAAGUCGCAAGACGCUUAAGUUGAGGCCUGGGGCCCCCAUCAGCUAGUUGGUAAGGUAAUGGCUUACCAAGGCUAUGACGGGUAGCGGAAGCGGAGAGCUUGAUCCGCCACACUGGGA
Molecule: ribosomal RNA, 260 nt
Filed under: uncultured bacterium
Lineage: Bacteria
Description: partial 16S ribosomal RNA
Rfam family: Bacterial small subunit ribosomal RNA
Source: RNAcentral